CACGACCAGCCUGACCAACAUGCAGAAACCCCAUGUCUACUAAAAGUACAAAAUUGGCCAGGGUGCCAGGCUGUUCUACUUUUCUGGAAUGGUGCAUGGAGAAUAUCAAAACCAAGAAAUCCACAAUCUGGGCCAUUUUAUUACAGUUAUGAAGUUUAGGCCUUUCACAUGGCAGGCUUCUCACCCUUAUAUCCUGGCAGACAGGAUGGAAGAUUUGACAAACCCAGAGGAUAUCCAAACAAACAUCACAUGUGACCAGCAGGUGUCACUUUAUGUAAUUAAGAGGAGCACACUUGAAAAAUAAAAGCCAAAUUCACAUGCCAGGUAUUCUCUUGUUGUAGAAUAUACUAGAAUUAGACAUAGGAUUCUUGGGAUGGCUUCAUUUCUCAGGAAAACUGAAAAAUGACCCAAGGGAAGAUGGCCUUGCUGGAGGUUUUAAAAGUAAGCCAGCUGUGUGUAGGCCUGCAAAGGUGUUACCGAAUCCCCUCUUCUCUGACCUCUUGUCUUGUAGCUAGAGGGCCACUGUUCCAGUAUGGCACGAUGCCCUUCUUUAGGGUCAUGGGUUAAGCCCUUGGACUGUGGAUCGUUGUUAACCCCCCAGUCAACAGUAGAUACUUACUGACUUCCUGUCAGCUGAAGCUGGCUUUUUGGGUCCUGUCUUCCAGGGGUAGGAGAUUUUGCCAUGAGUGAUGUCACUUUCCUUCCAGACCCUUGUGCUAUCCCUGAACAACUAAAGAAGCGCUGUUUAAAUAAGAAGGAGCAGCUGGUUUAUGUGCCUCUUUCUGGAGUUGGGCGUGUGCUGUAUGACAAAGACGCUGUCUAUGUUGACCUUGGUGGCAGCCACGGUUUUCAGGCAUCGUUAAGCUAGCCUCCAAAGCUGGAAGCUGAAUUGACCGUUGAAAAAUAAUGACAUGUAUACAAGGUGUGUUUGGAGGAUUGCGGAUGCAGGGGCACUGUACUGCUAAAGGAGUGUUGGAAGCUCACUGAAGAAGAUGAUAAAAGCAGACUGAUGUGUAUUACCUGCUGACAUACAAACUGGAGGCACAGUGUCAGAGAUGGCUUUGGAUUCCCAGUUCUGCGUGCUCCUGUCUGGCUCCUGAACCCAGCUGGAGAGGUGAGUCAGUCCCAACUGGUGAAGUACCGAGAAGAAGCUACACAAAAGGCAGCAAGGUGUUAAUAAGUGUACCUCUGACAUUUUAACCACCUCUGAGUGUUCCAUGGAACGGACAAGUAGUAGUCUCUGUCAGAGCUACGUUUCAAAGGAAAAAAAGAACCUUGAAAGAACCUGUUUAUUAAUUUAUGCUGUUAUUUUGUGUUUACUCAGCUCAUUUAUAUUGACUUGUAAAUUAGUAAUUUAUGAACUAUUAUCUAUCAAUUCCUGGCCUACAUGUCGGCAAACAAAUUUUCUUCUUAAUAAAGAAUCCGGUGGCUGGGCACAAUGGUUCACAUUUGUAAUCUCAGCACGUUAGGAGGGCAAGGCAUGAGGAUUCCUUGAGGCCACGAGUUCAAGACCAGCCUGGGCAACAUAGCAAGAUUUCAUCUCUACAAAAACAUGAAAACAUUGGCUGGGCAUUUUGGCUCAUUCCUGUAGUUCAGGCUACGCAGGAGCCUGAGGUAGGAGGAUCACUUGAACCCAGGAGUUUGAGGCUGCAGUGAGCUGUGAUCCUAACACUGCUCUCCAGCCUGAGUGACAGACCAAGACACCAUCUCUUCAAAGAAGGAAUCUAGGGGCGUCAGUGUGUGCACGCAGCAUGGCUUGUGAAUGCGGAAGUGCAUGUGUGCAAAGUUGUGCUCAAGAAUGUGUUGAUGAUUAUACCUUCUCAGAAUGAAGGUAAUUUUUUUUUUUUUUUU
Long non-coding RNA from Rhinopithecus roxellana (golden snub-nosed monkey), 1851 nucleotides. RefSeq lists it as uncharacterized. The transcript has 5 exons. NCBI's taxonomy places the organism in Eukaryota, Metazoa, Chordata, Mammalia, Primates, Cercopithecidae. The record is from RefSeq and is a predicted model, not a curated record.